This 253-nucleotide ribosomal RNA is filed under the name uncultured bacterium. RNAcentral describes it as "partial 16S ribosomal RNA". It matches the Rfam family "Bacterial small subunit ribosomal RNA", at positions 524 to 776 of the family's 1533-position model. The record is from RNAcentral.
UACGUAGGGUGCGAGCGUUGUCCGGAAUUAUUGGGCGUAAAGGGCUCGUAGGCGGUCUGUUGCGUCGGGAGUGAAAACUCAGGGCUUAACCCUGAGCCUGCUUCCGAUACGGGCAGACUAGAGGUAUGCAGGGGAGAACGGAAUUCCUGGUGUAGCGGUGAAAUGCGUAGAUAUCAAGAGGAACACCUGAGGUGAAGACGGGUUGCUGGGCCAACACUGACGCUGAGGCGCGAAAGCCAGGGGAGCAAACGGG